UCAUAGUUGGUGUAAAAUAACAGAUCCCAUCAGAACUCCGAAGUUAAGCGUGCUUGGGCGAGAGUAGUACUAGGAUGGGUGACCCCCUGGGAAGUCCUCGUG
This 102-nucleotide ribosomal RNA is filed under the name Daucus carota subsp. sativus. The record is from RNAcentral. Lineage: Eukaryota; Viridiplantae; Streptophyta; Magnoliopsida; Apiales; Apiaceae.